Non-coding RNA from Salvia hispanica, 215 nucleotides. The record is from RefSeq and is a predicted model, not a curated record. Lineage: Eukaryota; Viridiplantae; Streptophyta; Magnoliopsida; Lamiales; Lamiaceae.
CCCUCGUCUCCGAUAGGCUUCAAGUGAUUUCAUACAAAUGGCUAAGUCGGAAUUUUUCGGUUUCCUCCAAUGCUGCAAAGAGAUUGCUAGAGGAGUUCGUUGAACAGCAUGGAGAUGGAUUAGCAGUGAUUUACUCUUUGUCUGGCUGGCUGAAGAAUAACCCUACAACCUACCAUAUAAGGCUUGUCCCCAGUCAUAUGCUUUCAGGUGAUUCC